GUUUUUUUUUCACUCCUUGAUGGAAGUCCACUCGUUGACUUUGUCAGUGCUACAGAAUUCCAAGUGAGGUCCUGAAAGUGUUAAUAGCGGUUUCUCCUGAGAAAAUCAACAGCUGCUGAGGUGAGUUGGGCAGCUGCUUAGAUGAGUUGGAUGUGAUCCUGUCCCGUUCCUUAAUGGCAGCUCACUUGUAUUCAUUGAGGGUUUCAUAGGUCUGUCCACUCAGCUGGUCCUCCAGGGGCUUUUAUCAACUGGCAUGCGAAGAUGUUGCAGAUCUGUGGGCUCUCCAGAUGCUCGUCAUAUGG
Long non-coding RNA from Sinocyclocheilus rhinocerous, 302 nucleotides. RefSeq lists it as uncharacterized. NCBI's taxonomy places the organism in Eukaryota, Metazoa, Chordata, Actinopteri, Cypriniformes, Cyprinidae. The record is from RefSeq and is a predicted model, not a curated record. The transcript is spliced from 4 exons.